UACAGAGGUCCCGAGCGUUGUUCGGAUUCAUUGGGCGUAAAGCGCACGUAGGCGGUCCAGCCAGCGGGGAGUGAAAGCCCUCGGCUUAACCGAGGAAGUGCUUUCCGAACUACUGGACUUGAGUACUGAAGAGGGUCGCGGAAUUCCCGGUGUAGAGGUGAAAUUCGUAGAUAUCGGGAGGAACACCAGUGGCGAAGGCGGCGACCUGGGCAGAUACUGACGCUGAGGUGCGAAAGCGUGGGGAGCAAACAGG
RNAcentral lists this ribosomal RNA (253 nucleotides) under uncultured bacterium. RNAcentral's name for it is "partial 16S ribosomal RNA". It matches the Rfam family "Bacterial small subunit ribosomal RNA", at positions 524 to 776 of the family's 1533-position model. The record is from RNAcentral.